This is a long non-coding RNA of Rhincodon typus (whale shark), 2169 nucleotides long. RefSeq lists it as uncharacterized. The record is from RefSeq and is a predicted model, not a curated record. The transcript is spliced from 4 exons. NCBI's taxonomy places the organism in Eukaryota, Metazoa, Chordata, Chondrichthyes, Orectolobiformes, Rhincodontidae.
AUGGCCUAAUUUCUGCUCCUGUGUCUUGUGGUCUUAAACUAAUUAAUGUAGACAAUACAGUUAUGCUUGAAAUCUACUGCAGUAGUGAAACAUAGUGCCUCUGCAGUAGGUAUAUGCACUAUAGUGUGUAUUACUGAGGGGUAAAAGCCAAAAAGGUCCGUUGUUCAGUCUCGGCAAGAUUCAAUUUCUUGAUUUGGUAAGUCAACCAGUCGUUAGUUGCCUCGGAAUAAUUGGCCUAGAGAAGAGUGGAGUUGCUGAUAUUUGCACACAAAUGUAGAGAAAAGUUACAUUUUCAUCAUUACUUUUGAAAGAGAAGGGACAAUAAUUUUUUUUUUCCAAAAUAUAAUUCAGUUCUCAAUGGUAAAAAUAUAUAUAUUUUUUGAACUCUUUACUUUGUAGCUACCCGUAAGGGUGUCACCAAGAGAGGCUGAUAGCUUCUGCAAGGUUAGGAAAACAGGCAGUUCCACCUGAGGAUGGUGCCACAGUAAAGACCAGAAUCAAUUUCACAAAACAUGGGGAAUCAGACAGACAAAGGCACUACCAAUGUUGACAGAUUAGUAGAGAAGCUGUGGGGGUGAAAAGAUCUGCCAAAAUGAGAGUCGUGUAAGAUAACUAGAGUAGACAGUACAGUAGAAUGAGAGCAUAUUAUUUAGAAUCUGUAGAAAGCAUAGGGAGGAGCCAGUUUAAGCUUAUGCACUACUCAUCCCUAAGUGCACUAGGCAAAGCAGAUACAGUGUAUCAUAGCCAAAAUACAAAACUUCAUCUGAGGCAUAGCAUACAUUAAAUGUGGUUAUGAUUGAAUCCAUCCAAAAUGAAUGUCCUUGUGAGAAAAUUUUAGUCCUGUUGAUGUACGUCAUGGAUUUACUAGCAGAUUGCACCCAACAGUUGAAGGUAAGCAUGAUUUUAUUGUGGUUGCUAAAAUGAAAAUGCAUUUUUUUCUAAAUUCGUUUUAAACUAAAGUUAAAUCUGUGUAAUAUUAUAAAAACACUGGUAUUUAUCUGCUGUAAUCUCAGCAAAUGAAGCGCUGCUGGUUUUAUACAAAAUGCUUUUGUCAGUUAUCAGUUGCAAAAUAAGCAGUUGUCCUUUGGACAUUCCUAGGCCGAUAAUUCAAAUCACAUAUAGAUUCUAUACUUUAAUCAGCUUUACCUGGUUCUGUCUUUUCAGCAACAACCAAUCCAUUUGUAGCAGCUCCUGUUCUGCCAGCACCUGCUGCCACAAACCCAUUCCAGACUAAUGGGAGAACUGCAGUAAGCUUUGGAACAGCGUCAAUGAGCAUGCCAACAUUGUUUGCCAAUCCAGCAGGAUAUACUCUUCCCACCAGCUUCAGUGGUGGCUUCCAGCAACCGGUCUUAUCUGGCCCUGUGACCUUUCCUCAACAUUCAGCAUUUCCACAGCAACCAGUUGGUGGAGGUUUUGGUUCAUUCGAACAACCUAAACCAAUGGUCAUGCCAUAUGGUCAACCAAUGGCAGCAUCUACGAUGUCUAGUAAUCCCUUUCUGGCUGGAGCUCCAAUGGGGCAGUUUCCAACAGGAAGCUCUUCAACCAACCCAUUCUUAUAGCCUAUUCAGUUGCUGUCAGGAGAGUUAUGUUGAUGCGUGACGUCUCCAGAUCUCUUGCACAGUUGUGUUGUUCACCAAUCUUAGCUUUAAUCACGAGUCUCUUAAAGCCUGUAUUUUGUAUAACGGGGUAAUAUAUGCAGAAAGGAAGGAUUUUCUGUAUGUCCUUUAUUUAACCAUUAUUUGGCAAGAAGGUUCAAGAUGUAGCCAUAUCAUGUAUAUUGAAAUGGGCUAAUAUUAAGUUAUUGCACUUCUUUCAUUGCUCUGCAGUACUGUACAUAUUUUUUCUUAGAAAUUUAGCUAGUUGUGCAGAUCAGUAUUUGUAAUUUAACACAUUUAUGUUAAUGUGAAAUGUUACUGAGCAGAAAGAGUCAUAAUAAAGUUGCUGUAUCUAUAAGGAUGAAAUUGCUGUAACAUUGGCCUUUUAAGUUUGAGUUUUAAAUAAACUAGAUUAUUCAUUUGUGACUGAAAAGGAGAUUUUCUUUCUCAGAGGAAAAUUCUCUUAUUUAUAUUCUGAGUAUGUAGAAAACUGCAUCUCUGCCUAAUAAAGAAAAUCAUGUUUUGCUACAAAGUUUGCAAUUGACAAAAUAAAUACAAUAUUAGUAAAAAUCUC